GACGAACGCUGGCGGCGUGCCUAAUACAUGCAAGUCGAACGAACUCUGGUAUUGAUUGGUGCUUGCAUCAUGAUUUACAUUUGAGUGAGUGGCGAACUGGUGAGUAACACGUGGGAAACCUGCCCAGAAGCGGGGGAUAACACCUGGAAACAGAUGCUAAUACCGCAUAACAACUUGGACCGCAUGGUCCGAGUUUGAAAGAUGGCUUCGGCUAUCACUUUUGGAUGGUCCCGCGGCGUAUUAGCUAGAUGGUGGGGUAACGGCUCACCAUGGCAAUGAUACGUAGCCGACCUGAGAGGGUAAUCGGCCACAUUGGGACUGAGACACGGCCCAAACUCCUACGGGAGGCAGCAGUAGGGAAUCUUCCACAAUGGACGAAAGUCUGAUGGAGCAACGCCGCGUGAGUGAAGAAGGGUUUCGACUCGUAAAACUCUGUUGUUAAAGAAGAACAUAUCUGAGAGUAACUGUUCAGGUAUUGACGGUAUUUAACCAGAAAGCCACGGCUAACUACGUGCCAGCAGCCGCGGUAAUACGUAGGUGGCAAGCGUUGUCCGGAUUUAUUGGGCGUAAAGCGAGCGCAGGCGGUUUUUUAAGUCUGAUGUGAAAGCCUUCGGCUCAACCGAAGAAGUGCAUCGGAAACUGGGAAACUUGAGUGCAGAAGAGGACAGUGGAACUCCAUGUGUAGCGGUGAAAUGCGUAGAUAUAUGGAAGAACACCAGUGGCGAAGGCGGCUGUCUGGUCUGUAACUGACGCUGAGGCUCGAAAGUAUGGGUAGCAAACAGGAUUAGAUACCCUGGUAGUCCAUACCGUAAACGAUGAAUGCUAAGUGUUGGAGGGUUUCCGCCCUUCAGUGCUGCAGCUAACGCAUUAAGCAUUCCGCCUGGGGAGUACGGCCGCAAGGCUGAAACUCAAAGGAAUUGACGGGGGCCCGCACAAGCGGUGGAGCAUGUGGUUUAAUUCGAAGCUACGCGAAGAACCUUACCAGGUCUUGACAUACUAUGCAAAUCUAAAAGAUUAGACGUUCCCUUCGGGG
This 1033-nucleotide ribosomal RNA is filed under the name Lactiplantibacillus plantarum. RNAcentral describes it as "bacterial SSU rRNA". It matches the Rfam family "Bacterial small subunit ribosomal RNA", at positions 28 to 1025 of the family's 1533-position model. Lineage: Bacteria; Bacillati; Bacillota; Bacilli; Lactobacillales; Lactobacillaceae. The record is from RNAcentral.